This 686-nucleotide ribosomal RNA is filed under the name uncultured beta proteobacterium. RNAcentral's name for it is "bacterial SSU rRNA". It matches the Rfam family "Bacterial small subunit ribosomal RNA", at positions 8 to 689 of the family's 1533-position model. The record is from RNAcentral. Lineage: Bacteria; Pseudomonadati; Pseudomonadota; Betaproteobacteria.
AGAGUUGUAUCCUGGCUCAGAUUGAACGCUGGCGGCAUGCCUUACACAUGCAAGUCGAACGGCAGCACGGGAGCAAUCCUGGUGGCGAGUGGCGAACGGGUGAGUAAUAUAUCGGAACGUGCCCAGUCGUGGGGGAUAACGUAGCGAAAGCUACGCUAAUACCGCAUACGAUCUAUGGAUGAAAGCGGGGGAUCGCAAGACCUCGCGCGAUUGGAGCGGCCGAUGUCAGAUUAGGUAGUUGGUGAGGUAAAGGCUCACCAAGCCGACGAUCUGUAGCUGGUCUGAGAGGACGACCAGCCACACUGGGACUGAGACACGGCCCAGACUCCUACGGGAGGCAGCAGUGGGGAAUUUUGGACAAUGGGCGCAAGCCUGAUCCAGCAAUGCCGCAUGCAGGAUGAAGGCCUUCGGGUUGUAAACUGCUUUUGUACGGAACGAAACGGCGAGCUCUAAUACAGCUUGCUAAUGACGGUACCGUAAGAAUAAGCACCGGCUAACUACGUGCCAGCAGCCGCGGUAAUACGUAGGGUGCGAGCGUUAAUCGGAAUUACUGGGCGUAAAGCGUGCGCAGGCGGUGAUGUAAGACAGAUGUGAAAUCCCCGGGCUCAACCUGGGACCUGCAUUUGUGACUGCAUCGCUAGAGUACGGUAGAGGGGGAUGGAAUUCCGCGUGUAGCAGUGAAAUGC